GGGCAGGUGCUCGAGUGGUUAAUGAGGACGGACUGUAAAUCCGUUGGCUUGCGCCUACAGUGGUUCGAACCCACUCCUGCCCA
Molecule: transfer RNA, 83 nt
Filed under: Fibrobacter sp.
Lineage: Bacteria; Pseudomonadati; Fibrobacterota; Fibrobacteria; Fibrobacterales; Fibrobacteraceae
Description: tRNA-Tyr
Rfam family: tRNA
About the family: Transfer RNA (tRNA) molecules are approximately 80 nucleotides in length. Their secondary structure includes four short double-helical elements and three loops (D, anti-codon, and T loops).
Source: RNAcentral